Molecule: ribosomal RNA, 502 nt
Filed under: uncultured bacterium
Lineage: Bacteria
Description: bacterial SSU rRNA
Rfam family: Bacterial small subunit ribosomal RNA
Source: RNAcentral
AUUGAACGCUGGCGGCGUGCUUAACACAUGCAAGUCGAUCGGUAACAGGUGUAGCAAUACAUGCUGACGAGAGGCGGACGGGUGAGUAAUGCUUGGGAAUCUGCCUAUUAGUGGGGGACAACCCGGGGAAACUCGGGCUAAUACCGCAUACGCUCUACGGAGGAAAGCCGGGGACCGCAAGGCCUGGCGCUAAUAGAUGAGCCCAAGUCGGAUUAGCUAGUUGGUAGGGAACGGCCUACCAAGGCGACAAUCCGUAGCUGGUCUGAGAGGACGACCAGCCACACCGGAACUGAGACACGGUCCGGACUCCUACGGGAGGCAGCAGUGGGGAAUAUUGGACAAUGGGGGCAACCCUGAUCCAGCGACGCCGCGUGGGUGAAGAAGGCCUGCGGGUUGUAAAGCCCUUUCGGUGGGGAAGAAAAGUCUCGACCUAAUACGUCGGGACCUUGACGUAACCCACUAAAGAAGCACCGGCUAACUCUGUGCCAGCCGCCGCCGUAAG